This is a long non-coding RNA of Mercurialis annua (annual mercury), 517 nucleotides long. RefSeq lists it as uncharacterized. NCBI's taxonomy places the organism in Eukaryota, Viridiplantae, Streptophyta, Magnoliopsida, Malpighiales, Euphorbiaceae. The record is from RefSeq and is a predicted model, not a curated record. The transcript is spliced from 4 exons.
GCAAGCACAAAACGUGAUGAUCAUCUUCUUCAUGAAAGAAAAGUUUCAAAUGUCCAUAACUUUUUCGUUUCUCAUCGGAAUUGCGUGAUUCUUGCGGCCACGGAACGAGAAAAGGAUCCUCUACGGAUUUAUGGUUCCAAUUUGAGAUGUUUAAGAGCUUGGAUGGAGAAAUUUUAAUGGUGAAUCAUGAACAUAGACCUUCGGCUUUGGGACUUCAACCAAGACCCGACGAGGCGAUUACCAACGAAGCUCGAAAUGUAAAGAUCGAGGUUAACGCUUUGCUGGUUUGAAAUAUCUUGAUAGCAAGUGGGAUUGCAUGAUAUGAUUUGGAAAUUCAAGCUUCCGAAGUUUAAAUUCUCGGAAGUCAUUUGCACAAGAAGUGAAAGAAGGUUUUCAUUCUAGCGGUCCGCAGUAGUCUAGAUGUUUUUGUCUAUGUAUUUAUAUAGCGCAUUUUAACUCUGAUGUUUUGUAAAAUGGGGUCACAUGUAUUUUGAUAUAUGAAACAUGAUUUGAUUUG